GACGAACGCUGGCGGCGUGCUUAACACAUGCAAGUCGAACGAAGAGCGACGGAAGCGUGCUUCUAUCAAUCUUAGUGGCGACCGGGUGAGUAACGCGUAAGCAACCUGCCCUUCAGAGGGGGACAACAGUGGGAAACGACUGCUAAAACCCCAUACAUACUAAUUUCGGCAUCAAUGAUGCAUGAAAGGGGGCGUAUACAGAAAAGCUAUCACUGAAGGAGGGGAUUGAUUCUGAUGAGCGAGUGGGAGGGGUAACGGCCCACCAAGGGGAGGAUCAGUAGCCGGUCUGAGAGGAUGAACGGCCACAUUGGGACUGAGACACGGCCCAGAAUACUACGGGAGGCAGAAGUGGGGAACAUUCCGCCGUGGCAGCCAGUCUGGCGGUGCAACGACGCGUGAGUGAUGACGGCAGUCGGGUUGUAAAGCUCUGUUAAUCGGGACGAAAGGCCUUCUUGCGCCUCGUGGGCAGGAUUGACGGUACCGGACUAGAAAGCCACGGCUACCUACGUG
RNAcentral lists this ribosomal RNA (510 nucleotides) under uncultured bacterium. RNAcentral's name for it is "partial 16S ribosomal RNA". It matches the Rfam family "Bacterial small subunit ribosomal RNA", at positions 28 to 507 of the family's 1533-position model. The record is from RNAcentral.